This is a non-coding RNA of Chelonoidis abingdonii (Abingdon island giant tortoise), 164 nucleotides long. NCBI's taxonomy places the organism in Eukaryota, Metazoa, Chordata, Testudines, Testudinidae. The record is from RefSeq and is a predicted model, not a curated record.
GCCAAACGGGCUCGUUUCCCCGCUGAGCUACUCAAUUACCCAAGGAGGCACGGAGCAAGAAGACGGGUACCAAACUUUUAUUAUCAGUCAGCUGAGCGGGUGCUUUUCCUCGGCUAGUGCCAGAGGGAAAAGACACCCCUUAACUAAAAUGGGCUACACAGGCA